Molecule: ribosomal RNA, 429 nt
Filed under: Gemmatimonadota bacterium
Lineage: Bacteria; Pseudomonadati; Gemmatimonadota
Description: Gemmatimonadetes bacterium partial 16S ribosomal RNA
Rfam family: Bacterial small subunit ribosomal RNA
Source: RNAcentral
UAGGGAAUCUUCGGCAAUGGACGAAAGUCUGACCGAGCAACGCCGCGUGAGUGAAGAAGGUUUUCGGAUCGUAAAACUCUGUUGUUAGAGAAGAACAAGGACGUUAGUAACUGAACGUCCCCUGACGGUAUCUAACCAGAAAGCCACGGCUAACUACGUGCCAGCAGCCGCGGUAAUACGUAGGUGGCAAGCGUUGUCCGGAUUUAUUGGGCGUAAAGCGAGCGCAGGCGGUUUCUUAAGUCUGAUGUGAAAGCCCCCGGCUCAACCGGGGAGGGUCAUUGGAAACUGGGGGACUUGAGGGCAGAAGAGGAGAGUGGAAUUCCAUGUGUAGAGGUAAAAUGCGUAGAUAUAUGGAGGAACACCAGUGGCGAAGGCGGCUCUCUGGUCUGUAACUGACGCUGAGGCUCGAAAGCGUGGGGAGCAAACAGG